UAUCGCCGAAGGAGGGGUUUGGCGUCUGAUUAGCUGGUUGGAGGGUAACGGCCCAACAAGGCGAUGAUCAGUAGCCGGUCUGAGAGGAUGAACGGCCACAUUGGGACUGAGACACGGCCCAGACUCCCUACGGGAGGCAGCAGUGGGGAAUCUUCCGCAAUGGACGAAAGUCUGACGGAGCAACGCCGCGUGAGUGAAGAAGGUCUUCGGAUUGUAAAACUCUGUUAUACGGGACGAAAAAGGCGGAUGCCAACAGUAUCCGUCCGUGACGGUACCGUAAGAGAAAGCCACGGCUAACUACGUGCCAGCAGCCGCGGUAAAU
RNAcentral lists this ribosomal RNA (322 nucleotides) under uncultured Megasphaera sp. RNAcentral's name for it is "bacterial SSU rRNA". It matches the Rfam family "Bacterial small subunit ribosomal RNA", at positions 213 to 525 of the family's 1533-position model. Lineage: Bacteria; Bacillati; Bacillota; Negativicutes; Veillonellales; Veillonellaceae. The record is from RNAcentral.